AUUGAACGCUGGCGGCAGGCCUAACACAUGCAAGUCGAGCGGAGCGGCGGACGGGCGAGUAAUGCCUAGGAAUCUGCCUGGUAGUGGGGGAUAACGUCCGGAAACGGGCGCUAAUACCGCAUACUAUCAGAUGAGCCUACGUACGAUUAGCUAGUUGGUGGGUUAAAGGCCUACCAAGGCGACGAUCCGUCACUGGUAUGCGAGGCUGAUCAGUCAAACUGGAACGGGAACACGGUGAAGACGCCUACGGGAGGCAGAAGUGGGGAAUAUUGGACAAUGGGGGAAAUCCUGAUCCAGCCCUGCCGGGUGUUUGAAGAGGGUCUUCGGAUUGUAAAGCACUUUAAGUUGGGAGGCGUUACCAACAGAAUAAGCACCGGCUAACUUCGUGCCAGCAGCCGCGGUAAUAC
RNAcentral lists this ribosomal RNA (407 nucleotides) under uncultured bacterium. RNAcentral's name for it is "partial 16S ribosomal RNA". It matches the Rfam family "Bacterial small subunit ribosomal RNA", at positions 30 to 526 of the family's 1533-position model. The record is from RNAcentral.